Molecule: ribosomal RNA, 632 nt
Filed under: Filobasidium magnum
Lineage: Eukaryota; Fungi; Basidiomycota; Tremellomycetes; Filobasidiales; Filobasidiaceae
Description: LSU rRNA
Rfam family: Eukaryotic large subunit ribosomal RNA
Source: RNAcentral
AAGCAUAUCAAUAAGCGGAGGAAAAGAAACUAACAAGGAUUCCCCUAGUAACGGCGAGUGAAGCGGGAAGAGCUCAAAUUUGAAAUCUGGUGGCCUCAGGUCAUCCGAGUUGUAAUCUAUAGAAGUGUUUUCCGUGCUGGCUCAUGUACAAGUCCCUUGGAACAGGGCGUCAUAGAGGGUGAGAAUCCCGUCCUUGACAUGAACUACCAGUGCUCUGUGAUACAUUUUCAACGAGUCGAGUUGUUUGGGAAUGCAGCUCAAAAUGGGUGGUAAAUUCCAUCUAAAGCUAAAUAUUGGCGAGAGACCGAUAGCGAACAAGUACCGUGAGGGAAAGAUGAAAAGCACUUUGGAAAGAGAGUUAAACAGUAUGUGAAAUUGUUGAAAGGGAAACGAUUGAAGUCAGUCGUGCUCUUUGGAUUCAGCCGGUUCUGCCGGUGUACUUCCUUUGAGUGGGGUCAACAUCAGUUUUGAUCGCUGGAUAAAGGCUGGAGGAACGUAGUACCCUCGGGUAAACUUAUAGCCUCCUGUCACAUACAGUGGUUGGGACUGAGGAACGCAGCACGCCUUUAUGGCCGGGAUUCGUCCACGUACGUGCUUAGGAUGUUGACAUAAUGGCUUUAAACGACCCGUCU